This 245-nucleotide long non-coding RNA is filed under the name Gossypium raimondii (Peruvian cotton). RNAcentral describes it as "long non-coding RNA (GRAI_LNC002188)". Lineage: Eukaryota; Viridiplantae; Streptophyta; Magnoliopsida; Malvales; Malvaceae. The record is from RNAcentral.
UAAUUGUUGUGCCUCCUCCAUGUGGGGUUCUUACAUAGAAAAUUAGAACAAGACAUAAAACAACUAUUAAUCUACUAUUAAUCUUACUCCUAAAAAAUCAACUUAAAAUCAUCCAAGAAUUAAUACAAUCUCUAAAAUCAAAACAUUAAAAAGUUUAAUUAUCCUCAUCAAAAUCCAUCCCAUCAUCUCUUUCUUCAACAUCAUCCUCUCCUUCCUCUUUGCUUUCACACUCCUCUUCCUCCAGC